AUCUGGGCGUAAGCGUGCGUAGGUGGUUUGUUAAGCAAGAUGUGAAAGCCCCGGGCUCAACCUGGGAACUGCAUUUUGAACUGGCAAACUAGAGUUUUGUAGAGGGUAGUGGAAUUUCCAGUGUAGCGGUGAAAUGCGUAGAGAUUGGAAGGAACAUCAGUGGCGAAGGCGGCUACCUGGACAGAGACUGACACUGAGGCACGAAAGCGUGGGGAGCAAACAGGAUUAGAUACCCUGGUAGUCCACGCCGUAAACGAUGUCAACUAGCCGUCUGUAGACUUGAUCUGUGGGUGGCGUA
Molecule: ribosomal RNA, 298 nt
Filed under: Colwellia sp.
Lineage: Bacteria; Pseudomonadati; Pseudomonadota; Gammaproteobacteria; Alteromonadales; Colwelliaceae
Description: partial 16S ribosomal RNA
Rfam family: Bacterial small subunit ribosomal RNA
Source: RNAcentral